AUUGAACGCUGGCGGCAGGCCUAACACAUGCAAGUCGAGCGGAUGAAGGGAGCUUGCUCCUCGAUUCAGCGGCGGACGGGUGAGUAAUGCCUAGGAAUCUGCCUGGUAGUGGGGGAUAACGUCCGGAAACGGGCGCUAAUACCGCAUACGUCCUGAGGGAGAAAGUGGGGGAUCUUCGGACCUCACGCUAUCAGAUGAGCCUAGGUCGGAUUAGCUAGUUGGCGGGGUAAAGGCCUACCAAGGCGACGAUCCGUAACUGGUCUGAGAGGAUGAUCAGUCACACUGGAACUGAGACACGGUCCAGACUCCUACGGGAGGCAGCAGUGGGGAAUAUUGGACAAUGGGCGAAAGCCUGAUCCAGCCAUGCCGCGUGUGUGAAGAAGGUCUUCGGAUUGUAAAGCACUUUAAGUUGGGAGGAAGGGCAGUAAGUUAAUACCUUGCUGUUUUGACGUUACCAACAGAAUAAGCACCGGCUAACUUCGUG
Molecule: ribosomal RNA, 484 nt
Filed under: uncultured bacterium
Lineage: Bacteria
Description: partial 16S ribosomal RNA
Rfam family: Bacterial small subunit ribosomal RNA
Source: RNAcentral